This is a non-coding RNA of Gasterosteus aculeatus aculeatus (three-spined stickleback), 227 nucleotides long. NCBI's taxonomy places the organism in Eukaryota, Metazoa, Chordata, Actinopteri, Perciformes, Gasterosteidae. The record is from RefSeq and is a predicted model, not a curated record.
CCGUCCCUCUGAAGCUCCUCUGUGUGGGGAACAUGACAGCAGGACCAAAGCUCAGAGGACCCAUCAGAGACCAGGACCUGAACCUGCACCCAGCUGUGUGUCCAUGAAGAGUAACCAGUCUAUGGAGCCUCCUCUAGUCUUCAAAGAUGGUCCCUCUGUUGAUGCAAGGUCACAUCAGCAGAGAGGAAAGUCUCCUGAACCCAGAUGUUUGUCCAUGAAGAGUGAUC